GAGGGUAUAACUCAAGUUGUAGAGCAUAUGCUUAGCAUGCAUAAGGUCCUGGGUUCAAUCCCCAGUAUCUCCU
RNAcentral lists this transfer RNA (73 nucleotides) under Camelus bactrianus (Bactrian camel). It matches the Rfam family "tRNA". From Rfam's summary of the family: Transfer RNA (tRNA) molecules are approximately 80 nucleotides in length. Their secondary structure includes four short double-helical elements and three loops (D, anti-codon, and T loops). Further hydrogen bonds mediate the characteristic L-shaped molecular structure. tRNAs have two regions of fundamental functional importance: the anti-codon, which is responsible for specific mRNA codon recognition, and the 3' end, to which the tRNAs corresponding amino acid is attached (by aminoacyl-tRNA synthetases). tRNAs cope with the degeneracy of the genetic code in two manners: having more than one tRNA (with a specific anti-codon) for a particular amino acid; and 'wobble' base-pairing, i.e. permitting non-standard base-pairing at the 3rd anti-codon position. RNAcentral also lists the same sequence under 2 other names. Lineage: Eukaryota; Metazoa; Chordata; Mammalia; Artiodactyla; Camelidae. The record is from Rfam by way of RNAcentral.